This 73-nucleotide transfer RNA is filed under the name Camelus bactrianus (Bactrian camel). It matches the Rfam family "tRNA". Rfam says of the family: Transfer RNA (tRNA) molecules are approximately 80 nucleotides in length. Their secondary structure includes four short double-helical elements and three loops (D, anti-codon, and T loops). The record is from Rfam by way of RNAcentral. Lineage: Eukaryota; Metazoa; Chordata; Mammalia; Artiodactyla; Camelidae. RNAcentral also lists the same sequence under 2 other names.
GAGGGUGUAGCUCAAGUGGUAGAGCGCAUGCUUAGCAUGCAUGAGGUCCUGGGUUCAAUCCCCAGUUCCUCCU